UCAGUAAAGGGUGUAAAGAAAUUUCCAAA
This 29-nucleotide non-coding RNA is filed under the name Homo sapiens (human). Lineage: Eukaryota; Metazoa; Chordata; Mammalia; Primates; Hominidae. The record is from RNAcentral.